UACGUAGGUGGCAAGCGUUGUCCGGAAUUAUUGGGCGUAAAGCGCGCGCAGGCGGCCCCUUAAGUCUGAUGUGAAAGCCCACGGCUCAACCGUGGAGGGCCAUUGGAAACUGGGGGGCUUGAGUGCAGAAGAGGAAAGUGGAAUUCCACGUGUAGCGGUGAAAUGCGUAGAGAUGUGGAGGAACACCAGUGGCGAAGGCGACUUUCUGGUCUGUAACUGACGCUGAGGCGCGAAAGCGUGGGGAGCGAACAGG
RNAcentral lists this ribosomal RNA (253 nucleotides) under uncultured bacterium. RNAcentral describes it as "partial 16S ribosomal RNA". It matches the Rfam family "Bacterial small subunit ribosomal RNA", at positions 524 to 776 of the family's 1533-position model. The record is from RNAcentral.